UGGAGGCGUCGGCAGAGCAGGCAGACCAAGGA
RNAcentral lists this non-coding RNA (32 nucleotides) under Homo sapiens (human). The record is from RNAcentral. Lineage: Eukaryota; Metazoa; Chordata; Mammalia; Primates; Hominidae.